UACGGGGGGAGCAGGCGUUGUUCGGAUUUACUGGGCGUAAAGGGCGCGUAGGCGGCCAGCACAAGUCAGUUGUGAAAUCUCCGGGCUUAACUCGGAAAGGUCAACUGAUACUGUGCGGCUAGAGUGCAGAAGGGGCAACUGGAAUUCUCGGUGUAGCGGUGAAAUGCGCAGAUAUCAGGAGGAACACCAAUGGCGAAGGCAGCUCACUGGGACGGUAUUGACGCUGAGACGCGAAAGCGUGGGGAGCAAACAGG
RNAcentral lists this ribosomal RNA (254 nucleotides) under uncultured bacterium. Its description in RNAcentral is "partial 16S ribosomal RNA". It matches the Rfam family "Bacterial small subunit ribosomal RNA", at positions 524 to 776 of the family's 1533-position model. The record is from RNAcentral.